GAUGAACGCUGGCGGCGCACAUAAGACAUGCAAGUUGAACGGACUUAAUCGAAAUAUUUAUAUUUUGAAGCGGUUAGUGGCGGACUGGUGAGUAACGCGUAAGGAACCUGCCUAUUAGAGGGGAAUAACAGUGAGAAAUCAUUGCUAAUACCGCAUAUGCCAUAGAUAUCACAUGAUAACAGUGGGAAAGGAGCAAUCCGCUAAUAGAUGGCCUUGCGUCUGAUUAGAUAGUUGGUGGGGUAACGGCCUACCAAGUCAACGAUUAGUAGCCGGACUGGGAGGGGUGACGGCCACAAUGGGAAUGGGAAACGGCCCAGACUCCUACGGGAGGGAGGAGGCGGGAAUAAUGCGCAAGGGAGGAAACUCUGACGGAGGCACGGCGCGGAUAGGAAGAAGGUUUUCGGAGUGUAAAAUAUUGUCGUUAUGGAAGAGAAAGGACAGUACCUAAGGAGGAAGCUCCGGCUAACUACGUG
RNAcentral lists this ribosomal RNA (473 nucleotides) under uncultured bacterium. RNAcentral describes it as "partial 16S ribosomal RNA". It matches the Rfam family "Bacterial small subunit ribosomal RNA", at positions 28 to 507 of the family's 1533-position model. The record is from RNAcentral.